This 268-nucleotide ribosomal RNA is filed under the name uncultured bacterium. RNAcentral describes it as "partial small subunit ribosomal RNA". It matches the Rfam family "Bacterial small subunit ribosomal RNA", at positions 26 to 285 of the family's 1533-position model. The record is from RNAcentral.
AGGAUUAACGCUGGCGGCGUGCAUGAAACAUGCAAGUCGAGCGCGGUGUAAUGCGGGGUAACCCAAUUCACAUCUAGCGGCGAACGGGUGAGUAACACGUGAGCAACCUACCUUUGAGUUGGGGAUAGCCCUGGGAAACCAGGAUUAAUACCCGAUGUGGUCACAACAGGACAUCCUGAUGUGAGUAAAGGCGCAAGCCGCUCAAUGACGGGCUCGCGGCCUAUUAGCUUGUUGGCGGGGUAAUGGCCCACCAAGACUGUGAUCGGUA